Molecule: long non-coding RNA, 2788 nt
Filed under: Macaca fascicularis (crab-eating macaque)
Lineage: Eukaryota; Metazoa; Chordata; Mammalia; Primates; Cercopithecidae
Description: lncRNA (ENSMFAG00000055318.1)
Source: RNAcentral
UUUUUUUUUUUUUUUUUCAGGGUCUCACUCUGUCACCCAGGCUGGAGUGCAGUGGUGCCAACAUGGCUCAGUGCAGCCUUGACUUCCUGGGCUCAAGCAAUCCUCCCACCUCCAUCUCUCAUCUAGCUGGAAACACAGGUGUGCUAAUGUUUUUAUUUUUUGUAGAGACAGGAACUUACUUUGUUGCUCAGGCUGGUCUCAAAUUCCUGGGCUCAAGCGAUCCUCCUGUCUCAGCCUCGCAAAGUGCUGGAUUCUAGGCGUGAGCAUCAGCACCUGGGCACAAGCUUUUUCUUAAGCACUAAACGAUGCUGCCUAUAUUCAUUUUCUGGGUCUGCCACAAUAAAUGCCAACAAACCAGGUGUCUGAAACCACAGAAAUAUGGUCUUUCAAAGUUCUGGAGAGUAGAAGUCCAAAAGUGAGGUGCGGGCAGGACCACCCUCCUCUGAAGCCCCCAGGAAGGCGCCUUGCCCAGCGCCUCUCAGGCGACUUCAGUCCUUGGUGCUCCUUGGCUUGGAGCAGCAUCGCCCUAGUCUUGGUCUCCAUCUUCACGCGGCCUUUCCCUGUGCAUCCCCCACUUAUAAGGUCACAGCCAUUAGAUUUAGGACCCACCCUAAUCCAAGAUGACCGCAUCUGAACCUGAAUACAUCUGCAAAGACUGUUUUUCCAAAUAGGGUAACGUUCACACAUACAGAGAGUUCGGGCUUCCAUCUACCUUUCUGGGGACUCAACUCAGCCCACCACAGAGCUCAGGCCUGCCCCAGGAAUGCUGUGCCCUUGGGCUGCUCCAGGCUGGAAGGGCGCAGGAAGCAGAGCCGGCCUCCAGGGCUCCGCCAGGGACCACACUCCAGCCCAUGCACCGGGGACCCAAGACAGCCCAGCGGGAGGACAGUUGGAACAGAGACUCUGAUGACCGUGGGAACAGCUUGCACACCUCUGUGCCGCUCUGAGUGUGACCUGCUCCAUCCCUUCACUUGAUUUGUCCUCUGUAUCUGGAAGCAUCCUCUCCACAGUGCAGUGGUUUCCCUGUGAGGCUCCUGGGUUAUUCCCGAUGAUUUGCUUUGCUGCCCAGCACAAAGGCUAGCAUUUAUAGUCACUCUCCAGAGAGACCCCUAAGACCCAACUAAAGCAGAAUCACAACAGAAGCCUAGAGAGGUUGCCUGGCAACGACUCCCUAUUGUGCCUAUUGUGACCUCGUCUUCCCCGGCCUCCUGCAGUGCCCCUGUGCACUGCCACUGUCAUCGGCCUGAGGUGCAUGCCAGUAUGGGCCUUCCCACAGUUCUGUGCCCUGUCCCCUUCCUCCCAGGGACUAAAGACCCUGGAGGAGCUUGGAAUGCCAGGCUUCCAGAGCCUGACUCCUGCCCAUUACACACUGCACAGCAAAGUCCGGGUUCUAUGUUCCAUUGCCGCCUGGUCACCUGGUCCCUGCCCUGUUGUUCCUCUUUUGCAGGACUUGCCUUGGCUCUCUUGUCCUCAGUCUACGUCUUGUCUCAAACAAAGGCCCUCCCCAGACACAGUGCGCUCCACAGUAGUGACAUGUGAACAACUACACAUCCCUGAUUUCCAGGAACACUUGUGAAUUCACGUAUUCACCCUCCAUUUUAAAAAGUCACAUUUCCCAUGCAGUGCUGGGUACAGCAUUUAAAGCAUAUCUCCCGGACUGCUGUGUGCUCUGGGCAGCUGCCGGAGACCAUGGCAGGAUGUGUGCCACUGUCACAGAUGAAUAACCCCUUCUUAGCAUACUUUGCAAUAUAAUCAAAUCCCAUCAUGCCUGUUUGGUGAUGUUAAUUCCAGGAUUCUAUUCUAUUCUAUUCUAUUCUAUUCUAUUCUAUUCUAUUCUAGUAAGAAUACAUGAGAUCUAUCCUCUUAAAAUGCUAAGUGUCCACUGCAGCAUCAUGACUAUGGGUGUGAUGUUCUGCAGCGGAUCUCUAGAGCUCAUUCAUUUGGCUUAAUUAAAACUUAAUGCCUCUCAUUUCCCCUCCCUGAGCCCCUGGCAGCCACCUUCCCACUCUUUGGUUCUAUGAGUUUCACUGCGUUAGCCAGCUCAUAUAAGUGGAAUCCUGCAGGAUUUGUCCCACUGUGACUGGCCUGUGUCACUCAUCCGUGUUGUCGUGGUUUGCAGAAUUGUCUUUGGUAAGGGCGAAUAGUAUUUCAAUGGCUGUACGCACCAUGCUUUCUUUAUUCGUUCACGUGUAGAUGGACGUUCAGGCUGACUCCACAUCUUAGCUGUUGGGAAUGAACGUGGGAGUGCAGACAUCUCCUGGAGAGCCUCAUUCCAAUAAUUUGGAUAAACACCCAGGAUAGACUAAUGCAGCUGUGGCAGGGGUUCAACAGCAGGCUUGGUGGGGCUGAGGGCAGGAUUCUGCGUAGAGCUCCAGGGCAGGCACAGGGCACGAAGAAGGAACGUGGGCUGGGGGUGAAGAAGCAGCUGUCUGAGGGUAGGGCUCUGGUUACACCUGGUCCCCCAGCCUCAAACCAGCAUUGUUGCAGGCUCCUCCCAAGUCCAAUGAGCCACAGGCCUGCCCUGGAUGCCAGUGUCCAUACCAUCACCACUGUCUUGUUCAGGCUCUUUAAUUCCUUCUUGAAAGCAUUGCAGAAGGCCCCCACCUCCAACCCCGCUUCUAAUCUCUUCCUCUCCUUUGACCUUCCACAAGGAGAAGGCUUGUGGAAGCCUCAAAACCUGAACAUGUCUCUCCUGAUUGUGAAACUCCACCCAGUGUUCUUGUUACCCAAGGGGAGUCCAGACCUGGGCACAUGUGCACAGAGGCCCCUACCUGUCCAUCCUCAGCCC